UACGAAGGGGGCUAGCGUUGCUCGGAAUUACUGGGCGUAAAGCGCGCGUAGGCGGCUUUGCAAGCCGGAUGUGAAAUCCCCGGGCUUAACCUGGGAACUGCAUUCGGGACUGCAUUGCUAGAGUAUGGGAGAGGGAAGUGGAAUUUCAGGUGUAGCGGUGAAAUGCGCAGAUAUCGGGAGGAACACCUAUGGCGAAGGCAGCUCGCUGGGACGUUACUGACGCUGAGACGCGAAAGCGUGGGGAGCAAACAGG
RNAcentral lists this ribosomal RNA (253 nucleotides) under uncultured bacterium. RNAcentral's name for it is "partial 16S ribosomal RNA". It matches the Rfam family "Bacterial small subunit ribosomal RNA", at positions 524 to 776 of the family's 1533-position model. The record is from RNAcentral.